RNAcentral lists this ribosomal RNA (466 nucleotides) under uncultured bacterium. RNAcentral describes it as "partial 16S ribosomal RNA". It matches the Rfam family "Bacterial small subunit ribosomal RNA", at positions 30 to 507 of the family's 1533-position model. The record is from RNAcentral.
UGACCGCUGGCGGCGUGCUUAACACAUGCAAGUCGAACGGAGAGGCCCAAGCUUGCUUGGGUACUCGAGUGGCGAACGGGUGAGUAACACGUGGGUGAUCUGCCCUGCACUUCGGGAUAAGCCUGGGAAACUGGGUCUAAUACCGGAUAGGACGAUGGUUUGGAUGCCAUUGUGGAAAGUUUUUUCGGUGUGGGAUGAGCUCGCGGCCUAUCAGCUUGUUGGUGGGGUAAUGGCCUACCAAGGCGUCGACGGGUAGCCGGCCUGAGAGGGUGUACGGCCACAUUGGGACUGAGAUACGGCCCAGACUCCUACGGGAGGCAGCAGUGGGGAAUAUUGCACAAUGGGCGCAGGCCUGAUGCAGCGACGCCGCGUGGGGGAUGACGGCCUUCGGGUUGUAAACUCCUUUCGCUAGGGACGAAGCGUUUUUGUGACGGUACCUGGAGAAGAAGCACCGGCUAACUACGUG